AACGAACGCUGGCGGCAUGCCUAACACAUGCAAGUCGAACGAGACCUUCGGGUCUAGUGGCGCACGGGUGCGUAACGCGUGGGAACCUGCCCUUAGGUUCGGAAUAACUCCCCGAAAGGGGUGCUAAUACCGGAUAAUGUCUUCGGACCAAAGAUUUAUCGCCUUUGGAUGGGCCCGCGUUGGAUUAGCUAGUUGGUAGGGUAAAAGCCUACCAAGGCGACGAUCCAUAGCUGGUCUGAGAGGAUGAUCAGCCACACUGGGACUGAGACACGGCCCAGACUACGAGGGGGGGGAGAAGAGAGGGAUACGGGACGGAGGGCAAAAGAGUGACAGGACAAGGAGGGGGGGAUGGAGAAGGUCGUUGUGUUGGAAGUCUCGAGUACAGGGAAAGGGGAUGACGGGACCGGGAGAAUAAGCCCAGCAAACCACAGCGGCAGCGGAGGCAAAACGACAAGACCAGGGCCGACC
Molecule: ribosomal RNA, 468 nt
Filed under: uncultured bacterium
Lineage: Bacteria
Description: partial 16S ribosomal RNA
Rfam family: Bacterial small subunit ribosomal RNA (bases 20-302)
Source: RNAcentral